GACGUGACCUGACAGGACUGGGUGGUGAGGCCACGUAGCAAAGCGAUGUGUAAGUGGAAAGUUCCUGAGGACCCUGAAAUGAGACGGAAUCAGAAGUGCCCAGCAUUAUUUGUUGGGAUAACAAGCUGUUAGGAAGACUUCUAGAAGUUUGAAGCAACUUGCCUAUUGGGAGCAGAGUGGUAGAAGGCUUUCUAGGCCGAAGGCAUGUGCAAAGUUUCUGCUAUGGGAAAUCAUUGUGAAUUCUGGAAACUUUCUUUUGGUCUUGUCUUUUCUGAAGCCUUGAAAAUGGAUGAACUUUCAAGUUUCUUUCCAGCAUCGAGAUUUUGUGGAGAUUACAAUUGAGGAAUUUUGGUAAAUUUGGCCUUGCUUAAUUUGUGGUCAAAUCCAAAUCUUGCCUUGAACAAGUCACUCCUAAACUGUCUUGUCCAGGACUGUCCAGCAAAAUGUAAGGUAAGCUGCAUAUGUAACUUGAAGUGUUCUAGUAGGCAUAUUUAAAAAAUCAGGUGUCGGGGUGCCUGGGUGGCUCAGUCGGUUAAGCCUCCGACU
Long non-coding RNA from Felis catus (domestic cat), 546 nucleotides. RefSeq lists it as uncharacterized. The record is from RefSeq and is a predicted model, not a curated record. The transcript has 4 exons. Lineage: Eukaryota; Metazoa; Chordata; Mammalia; Carnivora; Felidae.